AUAAAUUUCGCGUCCAAUAAAAGGUCGAUUUGAACUGAUAUUUCCUGAGCGUUAAUAGGUUAAUAAAUAACAUA
Long non-coding RNA from Diprion similis, 74 nucleotides. RefSeq lists it as uncharacterized. The record is from RefSeq and is a predicted model, not a curated record. The transcript has 3 exons. NCBI's taxonomy places the organism in Eukaryota, Metazoa, Arthropoda, Insecta, Hymenoptera, Diprionidae.